AUGGUGAGGGGCAAGAUUGUGAUUAGGAGGAUUGAGAACAUGAGCAGCAGGCAGGUCACCUCCUCCAAGCGGCGUCGUGGCCUGCUGAAGAAAGCACGUGAGCUGGCCAUCCUCUGCGAUGUCCAGGUCGGCGUCAUCGUCUUCUCCUCCACUGGUUGCCUCUACGAAUAUGCCAAUCCACCGCCACCACCAACAUGGGCAUGA
RNAcentral lists this ribosomal RNA (204 nucleotides) under Triticum aestivum (bread wheat). RNAcentral's name for it is "partial small subunit ribosomal RNA". Lineage: Eukaryota; Viridiplantae; Streptophyta; Magnoliopsida; Poales; Poaceae. The record is from RNAcentral.